CGCUCUUCUCACCGAGUCCGGACUCCGGUCCGGAGGAGCGUGGAGUUGACCGUCCGGGAAAGCCGGCCCUUCGCGGGGCCGAGCGGUCGUGGUCGGUUUAAAUGCAGCGUCGGAGACGUGUGGCCCGAGCGGGAUGCGCGUGAAGGUGAUCCGGGCUCCCUGUCGUGGGGGGUCGGGAGGCAAUUACUGCGAUUGCGCGUCCGGUUCGGGCCUCUUUGNGCCUCGACGGAAAAAAACAGGAAAAAGUGCGAGGGGGUCGGGGGGCGUGCGAGGGCGGUGGAGGCCGGCGGCCGGGGGGUCCCCUUCUGCGAGGAGGGGGGUCCUUCGGCCUCCGGCGCCGCCGCGCCGCCGUCGUCUGGCCCGUUCAGCGCACCGCA
RNAcentral lists this unclassified non-coding RNA (377 nucleotides) under Marchantia paleacea subsp. paleacea. RNAcentral's name for it is "ITS2". The record is from RNAcentral. Lineage: Eukaryota; Viridiplantae; Streptophyta; Marchantiopsida; Marchantiales; Marchantiaceae.